AGCCAAGUCUGGGAUGCCUGGAACUAUGGCGGGAACCUCCCACUCGAAUCCACACGCCACAGUUUCGGGAAAGUUGCCCGCGCUCCUCCACCGACCGGGGCCUACCUGACGGAUCGCGUGGCUCUCGACACCGCCUGAAAGUCCAGACCAGCCAUUGCAUCCCAGUGGCUCCUCCCCCGAGAAGCAAGCAUUGCCGAAUGCCGUUCUCCGUUUCCACCCACGCAAGAUUGAUUGCCUCGAGUCUAUUCCCACUUGUCGCGACCCUGUACACAGACUAGAACUGCCUCGGAGGGUUUCCGAGUCAGCUCAUCUGUACUGUGGCAAACUGCCAGAUCUUUCUCCGCAGCAGCAGUUAAUUUUGGAGCCAUUGCAAGGGAUUCAGCUCUACAUACCAACUAAAUAACCCACAUGGAAACUCUAACAUACCCUGCUUGGCUACCCAAAGGAGAGGAAAAUUCAACUCUACCCCAUUUCCAUUGGCAGAGAUCAGAUUGGCUUGUAGGCGCCUUGUGGGAGUCUGCAUGUCCCUCAGCCUGUGGUCUGCGCCAUCCACUGUCUUUAAGCUUUCCAUUCCCGGAUGUUCCCUGGCCUAUUGUCCUGCCUGAGUUUGGCCUUUGUGAUGAUUGGUGCUCGGUGGC
Molecule: long non-coding RNA, 638 nt
Organism: Echinops telfairi (small Madagascar hedgehog)
Lineage: Eukaryota; Metazoa; Chordata; Mammalia; Afrosoricida; Tenrecidae
Exons: 3
Source: RefSeq, a predicted model, not a curated record